AGAGCGAACGCUGGCGGCAGGCCUAAUACAUGCAAGUCGAACGCACCUUCGGGUGAGUGGCGGACGGGUGAGUAACACGUGGGAACGUGCCUUUUGGUUCGGAAUAAUCCGGGGAAACCUGGCCUAAUACCGGAUGUGCCCCCUCCUUUAACCAGGGGGGUGGGAAAGAUUUAUCGCCAUUAGAGCGGCCCGCGUCUGAUUAGCUUGUUGGUGAGGUAAAGGCUCACCAAGGCUACGAUCAGUAGCUGGUCUGAGAGGAUGAUCAGCCACACUGGGACUGAGACACGGCCCAGACUCCUACGGGAGGCAGCAGUAGGGAAUCUUGCGCAAUGGGCGAAAGCCUGACGCAGCCAUGCCGCGUGAAUGAUGAAGGUCUUAGGAUUGUAAAAUUCUUUCAGCGGGAAGAUAAUGACUGUACCCGCAGAAGAAGCUCGGCUAACUCGUGCCAGCAGCCGC
RNAcentral lists this ribosomal RNA (456 nucleotides) under uncultured bacterium. RNAcentral describes it as "SSU rRNA". It matches the Rfam family "Bacterial small subunit ribosomal RNA", at positions 26 to 518 of the family's 1533-position model. The record is from RNAcentral.